GGAUUGCACCCCCGCGGCUCGGCCCAAGCUGCUCUACCGUCGCUCCAUCGUCUCCCCAACUCCCCAGCGCCCCGGACCCUCUUUCCUCAUACCCUCGUUUCUCACCUUUCACCCUGUCCCUCGGCCCGCUUUUCGCCUCCCCGCUCUGUCCUGUCGUUUUCUUAACACUCUUCACAGGCGCACUUCCUCCUCCUCCUCUUCUCUUUUUCCCACCCCUACCCUUGGGCCCUCCUUCCUUAACCUCCGCUGGCCCCCCAUUCCAUGAUCCGUCCACCUGACACGCUGGGUUUCAUGCCUCUCUUUCCCAGGCUGUGGGUUGUGCCCUUCACUCCUUGCCCUCCUCCAUUCCCUGUCCUGAUCUGAACUCCUCUCCUUGCCACGCUCCCUCACCCUUAUCCCUCUGCACACUCCAAAAUUUUUAAAGAAAAAGGAGAGAGAGAAAAAAAGUAAAAGAAAAGAAACCCAAAAGGGAAAAUAUAGCUAAGGUGAACUGCAAAACCAUAUUCCUGCUGCUGUCAGUUAUGAUGCACUGAGAAAACUUCAGAGACCUAAGCUUUUUCCAGAGAAGAGAAGCUUUACUGGUGUUCCAGCCCUAAGAAACCUUUGUUCAACAAAACUGCAGAUGCUCUGUUGAAUCCACUGGAGAUUGUCCUCAUACUAAGGACAAGUAUCAACCAUCUUUCCUGUGAAAAAUUCCCUCUCCUAGUACUUUAGUUCUGUGGAUCCAAAAUUUAUAGCAUUCUUCUACCACCACAGGGGCUCAUAUGACAUUAACAGACAAGACACUUUUCAGAAAGACAG
This 801-nucleotide non-coding RNA is filed under the name Pan troglodytes (chimpanzee). Lineage: Eukaryota; Metazoa; Chordata; Mammalia; Primates; Hominidae. The record is from RNAcentral.